Molecule: ribosomal RNA, 468 nt
Filed under: uncultured bacterium
Lineage: Bacteria
Description: partial 16S ribosomal RNA
Rfam family: Bacterial small subunit ribosomal RNA
Source: RNAcentral
GACGAACGCUGGCGGCGUGCUUAACACAUGCAAGUCGAACGGAAAGGCCCUGCUUUUGUGGGGUGCUCGAGUGGCGAACGGGUGAGUAACACGUGAGUAACCUGCCCUUGACUUUGGGAUAACUUCAGGAAACUGGGGCUAAUACCGGAUAGGAGCUCCUGCUGCAUGGUGGGGGUUGGAAAGUUUCGGCGGUUGGGGAUGGACUCGCGGCUUAUCAGCUUGUUGGUGGGGUAGUGGCUUACCAAGGCUUUGACGGGUAGCCGGCCUGAGAGGGUGACCGGACACAUUGGGACUGAGAUACGGCCCAGACUCCUACGGGAGGCAGCAGUGGGGAAGAGUGCACAAUGGGAGGAAGCCUGAUGCAGCAAAGCCGCGUGCGGGAUGACGGCCUGCGGUUUGUAAACCGCUUUCGCCUGUGACGAAGCGUGAGUGACGGUAACGGGUAAAGAAGCACCGGCUAACUACGUG